GCUCGCGCGGGCGCGGGACUCCGGCGGCCCCACCGCGGGGCCUCGUCCUCCAACUCGCGGCUGCAAGGGCCUGGGCGGGACAGCGGGGGCCGAGGGCGGAGAAUUACCGCACGGGGGGCUGCCGGAGCCUUCCGGGCGGGUGCGCGGGGCCUCAGGGUGCAGGAGGCCGGGGUCGACGAGGACGCUCCCGCGGGGCCUGAGGCCGCGGCCGUGCAGGAGCGGAGGGAGGGGGGCGAGCCCGCGAUCCGGGACCCGGCCGAGCGCGGCUUCUCUGACGUUUCUACAGAGACGGAGCGAGUCGGCACCAGGACUUUCUCCCUGGGUCCCCUUCCAAAAUGCAGCCCCCGCCGUCACCCGCCUCCUCGAAGAAAGCGCGGGCACCCAUCACCCGAGUUUUGACGUUGGAGUUUAGAUUGGUAUCAGCGACGCGAUAAGGCUGUGUUGGCUUGGGAUAAAAAACGCGGAACUCUGCCUAGAGGAGAUUUGAUCAGCUUCCUGUGUGGACAAGUUCCUCUGCCUCAAAACUCUAGCGCUCCCCGAAGGCUGGCUGUAGUGUCGUCUAAACAGCUGCUUCAACGGAAACCAGCUCAUCUGUAGAGACUGUUUUGCAACCCAUCCGGGAAGUUAUAGCUCUGCGUGGUUCUGUUGAUCUCCAGCUUCUGGCUGUUCCCCAUGACGUUCUCUCUUUUUGUCUGAAUUUCAUUCUGCCUAAACAGGAUUCCAGGAUUCCUGACUAAAGCACAGCCUGAUUCACUGAGCCAUACCCUUCAGUUGGAAGCCAGCAAGGUUCAUCCGGGUUGUAGCGUGGAUCACAACUUCAUUCAUUCUUGCCGCUGAAUAACGGUCCACCGCGUGGAGAGGCCGCAUUUUGCUUACCCCUUCAUCAGCGGACGGACCCUCCCGGGGCUUCCCGCCUGGCUUUCGGGAGCGAUGCCGCUGGGAGCGUUCCUGGAAAGGCGGUCCUUUCUCCUGGGUCGGGGGUCGCCGCGCCACGCACUCCGCCGCGUCCGACCAGGAGAAGCACUUCUUUCCUGAGUCUCUCGCUCUGAUGCCCAAAUGCAAACAGGCCGAGGAGC
Molecule: long non-coding RNA, 1076 nt
Organism: Choloepus didactylus (southern two-toed sloth)
Lineage: Eukaryota; Metazoa; Chordata; Mammalia; Pilosa; Megalonychidae
Exons: 3
Source: RefSeq, a predicted model, not a curated record